This 98-nucleotide small RNA is filed under the name Epilithonimonas zeae. RNAcentral describes it as "Chryseobacterium zeae Flavo-1 RNA". The record is from RNAcentral. Lineage: Bacteria; Pseudomonadati; Bacteroidota; Flavobacteriia; Flavobacteriales; Weeksellaceae.
CCCCGACUUGAGCGGAAAUCCUUUUUUGCCAACCUUCGAGUUCUAUUUAGACUGAAAUCGUCUGCAAAAAAGAUUGGGAGCGGAAGGCGGAUAAAGGU